Molecule: long non-coding RNA, 2239 nt
Organism: Psammomys obesus (fat sand rat)
Lineage: Eukaryota; Metazoa; Chordata; Mammalia; Rodentia; Muridae
Exons: 5
Source: RefSeq, a predicted model, not a curated record
AGACUUGACGCAGCUUCAUCUCAUUUCGGAUGCACCAUGAGCCCCCAACCCCCACUCAGCAGUGCCUUACUCCUGCGUGAGCACUAUAAACUGGACCAAGUGGGAUGAAAAUGGCCAGAAAUUGCUUUUGAUCACUUUAUAUCUUUUAUGACUAAGAAAAAAAAUCAUUUCUGACCAGUUAAAAAUCCAUCUGAGCCAGUUUCAGAUAAUUGUGCAGAGCUGGAGCCUGAGGUCAGUAAACCCAGGAAGAUGGCUGAAGACCAUGCUGACUCAAGCCCAGACAAGGAGCCAGAUUUCUUGGAUUCCAGAUUCACUUCUUCAACUUUACCCUGGACCUGUGGCGAUUGGAAACCUUGAGAUGUGGUACGCAGUAUUAUAAAUCACAUGGACCCUGGAAGGAAGAUGCAAAAGUGAGGGAUCUGGGGAUUGUGUCAGAGACUGUGUUCACAGUGAGGCACAGAAUCAGUUCUAGAAGCACCUCAGGGAAUUCGGAUACAUGUUGUGGCCUGGAGAGAUCACCUCCCCUACCAUCUUACUUAGUGCCUGUCAGUCAUCAAUCUGUAGCUUCUCUGUUACCCUGCUGUACCACAGAAUGCAGCUACUGAGUGGCUUAAGAACCAGCACCUUCAUGGAGUUGCAAAGGUGGAAUAAGUAGUGACGUCCUUCUUUUGCCUGCAAAUAUGUUCUGGUUCCAAAAGUACACUGAUUUUCUCCAUCCAGGUUGAGGGUAUUCAAUGCUUCUUCAAUGUACAUUUCAGGUUUUGUCAGUGAGUUGUUGAUCCUCUCCUUUCACUAGUCCCGACUGGCUGGGAGAUUGUCACUUCAGUCUUCAUGUCCCCCCAUGUUAAGAGUCUCAGCUAGAAUCACACCAAUAUCCACCCAGGAGCCCACCCUGUAACAGGCCUCCAGCUUGACCAAGAGAUGUCCCUUCACAGGUUCCCUUCUUGUUCCCGGCCUUCUCACUUCCCACACUCAUUCUCCCCACGUUUGAUCUUGUUUCCCUCCAUUCCAUCUCCUGUCCAGUUCCUUACCCUGCCUAUAAGAACUGUAGGGAUCCUGAGGGAACAGCGAUAGAGGGAAAAUCCAAACAAUAAUUGGCCCAACCUGAGACUCACUCCUCAGCAGAGAUCCAGUCCCUGACACUAAUAAUGAUACUCUGCUAUGCUUUCAGACAGAAGCCUAACUUCCCUGGGAAGCUCCAGCCAACAGCAGAUUGAGACUGAUGCUGAGGCCUGCCGUCAAGAAUAGGGCAGGACUCUGGAGGUCCUGUGGAAGUGUUGGGGAAAAGAUGAAAAGACGUAAAGACGUGGAGGGGACAGGAACCUCAGAAGAAGACAACCAGAGACAACUAACCCAGUCCCAUGGGGGCUUUCAGAGACUGAGACAUCAACUAAGGAUCAUGCAUGAUCUGGACCUAGACCCCAGGCACACAUGUAGCCUAGGGGAGGCUUGGUCUUCAUAUGGGGCACCUGGCUAGUGGAGGGGUGGGGGGUGUUUCUAACAUGGACUCUAUUGCCUCAUUUCCCUCAAGCAGGGCUGCCUUGCCUGGCAUCAGGGGAUGAAAAUAUGCUCAGUCCCAAUGCGACUUGAUGUGCUGGGGAAAGUUGACAUGGGGAGAGGCGGUUCCCCUUUUCUGGGGGGAAAGGGGAAGGAGGAAGAAGGAGAAGUGUUGGGGGGUACUGGGAUGAAGGGAGGGAAGGAGUACCCUUGGGAUGUAAAGUAAUAAACUAAUGUAAAAGUUAAAAAAGGAAAUAAUUGUGUUAAGUAAUUAAGGCAGUACCAGAAAGACGAAUAUUGUAUAUUUUUCUCAUUGUUGCUCCUCGAUUUUAUAUAGAUAUAUAAAAUUAUGACAUGAAAGUAAAAUGAGACUGUCUAAGGGACAAAAGGAUUAACAGGAGGGAAAGGGGUGAGAAGGGGAGAGUGGGAGAGUGUGGGAGCAAUAUGUUUAAUAUACAAACCACGCUUGUAUGAAACUGAAAUAUAAAUAAAUCCAGAAGAAAAUGAGAUGAGGUAAAUAUGGCAAUAUUUUCCUCAUGGAUAUGCAAAUGAAAUAGUGCCAGCUGUUAAAAAGAUAUAUAUUGUCUUCAUUACUCUAUCAGUGUUGCCGAAAGACCAACUGGUUGUAUACAUGUGGGUGUACUCGUGAGUUCCAUUCUGUUUGGCUGGUCACUUGCUUUACAUUUACAUUUACAUUGCUAUAAAUUUGCCAUGCUUAUUAUGGCUCAUAAUAUGGUUUUGA